This 216-nucleotide long non-coding RNA is filed under the name Lathyrus oleraceus (garden pea). RNAcentral describes it as "Pisum sativum (pea) long non-coding RNA (PSAT_LNC006768)". Lineage: Eukaryota; Viridiplantae; Streptophyta; Magnoliopsida; Fabales; Fabaceae. The record is from RNAcentral.
GGGCAUCCUUGUCAUUUCCAUCAUUUUACUUGCCUAUAAAUAGAGACUCGAACUCAUUUGUUUAAUAAUCCAAACUUAGAGCAGAUGCAAACUUAGAGCAAACUUAGUUUCACUUAGGCAUAUAUUCAGUAUUUUAAAGUGGUAAUCGCUUCGCAUUGGGGUGUUACCACAAUUGUGUAAUCAAGUCUGUAUUCGAGUCUAUAAUCGAGUUUGGAG